Molecule: RNA transcript, 870 nt
Organism: Frankliniella occidentalis (western flower thrips)
Lineage: Eukaryota; Metazoa; Arthropoda; Insecta; Thysanoptera; Thripidae
Gene name: microtubule-associated proteins 1A/1B light chain 3A
Exons: 4
Source: RefSeq, a predicted model, not a curated record
ACACAUUCUGCGAAUAACCUCAACAAACAAACAACGAGAACGGAUUGCAACGCAACGAUUGCAACUGCAACAAGGAAGAAACAAACAAAGGUCUUAUCGUAUUGUUUUGUGGACAUUAUUUCGCUUCAGAGAGUAAAGAUGACGAACCCUCCAAAGUCUUUUAAGGAGAAGAAAACUUUCGCACAGCGAGUUAAAGAUGUCCAAAAAGUCAGGGAAAAGUACCCUAACAAAAUACCAAUUAUAGUUGAGAGAUUUAAAAAGGAAAAGCAGCUUCCUUUGUUGUCUCGCUCAAAAUUUUUGGUACCAGACCAUGUCCCAGUUGGGUACAUUAUCACCCAAAUCAGGCGAAUGCUGAACUUAAAUCCCACACAAGCUGUCUUCCUUUUGGUUAAUCAAAGAAGCAUGGCAAGCCAUUCUAUGUCAAUGUUUCAACUGUACAACCAGGAGAAGGACCCCGAUGGUUUUCUUUAUAUUGUCUAUGCAUCUCAAGAAACUUUCGGCUGAUGAAACUUUCUUCUCAACUUUUCUCCAUUAAGUUUCUUUGUUUUUUUGUUAUUUUUUUAAAUUAAUUUUUAUUUUUACUUUAUUCCAUUGACCUGAAAUUUUACAUAGGAUAAAUUUGUAUUUUCAUGAACUUCAUCUUCUACCAAAUAUAGAUGACCCAGGUACCUUCCAUGAUACCAUGUGGAAAUCCUUGCAUUGUGCUGAAACAUGCACAUGUGCUCCCUUCUUCUACUUUCAGAACAUUAUUAUUAUUGACCUCACUUAAAGUAGUUGUAAAUACUACUUCCAGAAGUUGUAAUUAUAUGUGUAUUAAAUUUUGUAGUAGUUAAGGCUAGUGAAAAUGAUAAAGUAUUUUAGGAAUGGUGA